CACUGGUCUAGAGCUGGCGUCGCUCUCCUGCUCUCCUGAUGAGUCCAAGGCAAGACGAAACUAGUG
This 66-nucleotide small RNA is filed under the name Helianthus annuus (common sunflower). Lineage: Eukaryota; Viridiplantae; Streptophyta; Magnoliopsida; Asterales; Asteraceae. The record is from RNAcentral.